CACGUAGGGCGCAAGCGUUGUCCGGAAUUAUUGGGCGUAAAGAGCUCGUAGGCGGUCUGUUACGUCUGCUGUGAAAACCCGGGGCUUAACCCUGGGCUUGCAGUGGAUACGGGCAGACUAGAGGCAGGUAGGGGAGAAUGGAAUUCCCGGUGUAGCGGUGAAAUGCGCAGAUAUCGGGAGGAACACCGGUGGCGAAGGCGGGUCUCUGGGCAGUAACUGACGCUGAGGAGCGAAAGCGUGGGGAGCGAACAGG
RNAcentral lists this ribosomal RNA (253 nucleotides) under uncultured bacterium. Its description in RNAcentral is "partial 16S ribosomal RNA". It matches the Rfam family "Bacterial small subunit ribosomal RNA", at positions 524 to 776 of the family's 1533-position model. The record is from RNAcentral.